Molecule: ribosomal RNA, 253 nt
Filed under: uncultured bacterium
Lineage: Bacteria
Description: partial 16S ribosomal RNA
Rfam family: Bacterial small subunit ribosomal RNA
Source: RNAcentral
UACAGAGGGUGCGAGCGUUAAUCGGAAUCACUGGGCGUAAAGCGCACGUAGGCGGCUUCUUAAGUCAGGGGUGAGAUCCUGGAGCUCAACUCCAGAACUGCCUUUGAUACUGAGAAGCUUGAGUCCGGGAGAGGUGAGUGGAACUGCGAGUGUAGAGGUGAAAUUCGUAGAUAUUCGCAAGAACACCAGUGGCGAAGGCGGCUCACUGGCCCGGUACUGACGCUGAGGUGCGAAAGCGUGGGGAGCAAACAGG